This 6924-nucleotide long non-coding RNA is filed under the name Homo sapiens (human). RNAcentral's name for it is "non-protein coding CARMN:33". The stretch from base 5226 to 5309 matches the Rfam family "mir-143 microRNA precursor family". The record is from RNAcentral. Lineage: Eukaryota; Metazoa; Chordata; Mammalia; Primates; Hominidae.
GUGGCCAGGGAGCCGCAGGCAAGGGACUAAGGGGAGGGGGGCUCAGUGCCAGCUGCUUAAAAAUGCCCCUGUGGCAGCGAGGGGCACCAGAGGCUGGGUCUAAUUAGUUGAGAAGCAGUGACACCCCCAACCACUCCCCAAACAGGCUGGCUCCCGUCUCCAGGCCCCAAGGAGCCACACCUGGACCAGACCCCAGGAAAGACAUGUGGUGGAAACCCUACGGCCCUGGAGCCCAAGGAGAGCAACGGCUGUAACAAGUGCACAGGCAAGGGCGCUAGCUGGUGGGAGCCACCCCGCCAUGCUGAUGUCAGAGAAGCAAGAACUCUGGAGAAGCAGCCUCCUGGGACCAGAGGAGGGCCAGCAGCAGGCAGCCCGGAGACAGAACUCUCACCCACGCCUCUCCAAGCCUCCCAACAGAAGACAGAGGUCCCCCACAGCCAGAGACAUUUCCUGAAGACAUGGGGAACACAGAGGCAGAAACAGCCCAUCCACCCAGGAGCUGUCCCCCACACUGCCGGGAGCCGGCACCCAGAGCCGCCAGGUAAAACUGAGGCCACCUGGUUCAACAUCACCUUUCACAGAAGGGGAAGCAGCCACAGAAAGAAGGGCCUCGUUAAGAAGUGGAACCUGGGACCCCCAAGCGGUGUCUCUCAUCCUGACUGGGGAUCCAGAGUAGGAGGGAGCCUUUGGUGGGGUAAGUGGAAUGGGGCGGGGUGGGGGGUGGCCAUAGACCCCUCUUCUCAGUAAGGCCCUCAUGUGAAGGAGGCAGGGGUUGGGACAAGUGCUAAGUAUGCAAGACUCAAGGGAAGAGCUGCUGGAGCCAGGAGAAGCACCUCCCUCCCGGCCCCUCUGCCCCUCCUCAUAGCCCAGCUGCACUGACUCCUCCUCCAGGAAGCCUUCUCAGCUUCCCCAGGGGUGGGAACCUUUUUGUCCUCCAGGUGUGCUUGGCUGUCCUUUCUUGGGCUCUCUCUCUCUCUCUCUCCUCAUCCCACUUGAGUCUGCCCCCUAUUCACCUUGUGAGGGGAAUUUUCCUUCUACUCAAUCUGACCGAGGUCCUCCAGGUCAAGGACAGCGAGGCUCUCAGUCCCACUUCCCCUUGGCACAUAGAAGAGGCAGUGCGCUGAAGGGACAGGUGAAAUGAUUAGACCCUGCCCCCAAACCAAGGCCUGGCCAAUUGGACAGGGCAUGAGACAUUCAGCGUAGAGGUUAAAACGAGGGCCCUGGGUUAGGAACCCCAGCUCAGUUCUCAGCUCUGUACCCUUGGAAAAUUCCCUUCCCAUGGAGCUUUGUGGAUGCACAAGGACUUGCACAAAGAAAACAUUCAAUAUCCAGGACUAUAAAAUUCCACAAAUGAUUGUGCUUAUUACAUUCAUUAUCACGAUGAUUAUUCCAGACACAAAGGAACAGAACGAGGCACCAACAGCAAGGGGCAAGCAGAUUCAAGGGCCACAGAGGAGAUGGAGGCAAACACCUUCCCCUGGUCAGAGGCUGUGCCUCAGCCCUUCUCCCUGCAUCAGUUUCUCCUUCAGAAGCAUGGGACUACCUCCCAUCUAGUUCUCGUUUCUAAACCUAGGGGAGAUGCUAUCUUUGCUGCAAUAAUCUUAGCCUACAUCUUGGAAUGGAAAUGGCCUUGGUGGAAAUGGUCUUCAACUCCUCUGGUCCAAGCUCAGGCCCUGUGACCCUGGAACAAUCCCCUUCCUGGUCCUCCAUGUAGGAGCAAUAACAUUCCCUUGCCAGCAGCACCAGCCAUUCUGAUGAUUAAAUGGUAUCGGACUCUGUUUUCCAAACUCAGUCAUUCAGAUGCCCCCUAUUUUAUUUCUUCCAUGUCUGCAAAUGAUUAUAAUAUUUUUAAAUGUAGGAUGAGUCCUUUUUAUUACACAUAGAAAUAGCUACUGUAAAUAGCAAACUCUAACACUGUGCCUAAUUAGGAAAUAAAGGUAACCAUAAAUACAGUAAAAAUGAAACAAUGUUAUUAUGGUUUAACCUGAUAGUGUGGCUUGCAAGGCCCUGGGCCUGAAGCCUGGGCAAUAAGUGAGAGUUAGAAAGGUGUCAAAGACAUGAUAGCAGCAAACUGAGGCUUUGUACCCCACGGUAAAUAGGACUGAAAGCAAAUUCACAGGGAGCAACUGAUCCAUUCCACAACAGAAUGCUCCCUGUCAAUUCGCUUUCCAUUCUGUUGUGUCCUGUCUCCCAGCAGAGACUACAAACUCCCCAAAACCACUUACCCACCAGCUGCACGUGAGAAGCCAAAGGUAGUUUAUGUGAAAGGGCUUUGGAAAUAAUCACGCACCAAGUGAAGGCAGAGGACACACCUUGUCAGCUUAGUUCUCAGCAGCAAAUCAUCUCUUUUCCAGGAUAACCCUCCCUGAUUCUUAUUGAAAUCUCUUUGCUGACCACACUAAGCUCUUCUCUCUCAGGGGCAGUGGGAGCCGUGGAGAGUGGAAUAGACCAGCUGUCUGUGACCUGCGAGGGAGUCCAAUGUCGGAAUCACUCCCCAGCCAAAUGCACGGUUUUAAAAAAUCUAUUUAUUUAUUUAUGUAGAGACCAGGCUAUGAGACUGGCUAAUUUUUCGUAUUUUUGGAUAGAGACAGGAUUUCAUCGUGUUGCCCAGGCUGGUCUUGAACUCCUGGGCUCAAGCGAUCCACCUGCCUCGGCUUCCCAAAGUGCUCAGGAUUACAGGCGUGAGCCACUGUGCCCAGCCACCAAAUGCAGUUGAAAAGAGUUUCUGCAAGAUAAUUCCACAGAAGAGGAAAGCAGUUAUCUGGCUGGGAAUACCUUAGACAGAGGCUGUCCUCUACACAGGCUGUCAGAACUGACCUACUGACCUGCCUGCUGGCAUGAUAGACCAGAGGGAAACACUCUUUCCACUCUUCCCAGACUGAGUGUAAGAGACAGACUUUUUUUUUUUUUUUUGAGACGGAGUCUCACUCUGUCACCCAGGCUGGAGUGCAAUGGCAAGAUCUCGGCUCACUGCAACCUCCACCUCCCCGGGUUCAAACCAUUCUCCUGCCUCAGCCUCCCAGGUAGCUGGGAUUACAGGCUCCCGCCACCACGCCUGGCUAAUUUUUGUAUUUUUAGUAGAGACAGGGUUUCACCAUGUUGGCCGGGCUGGUCUCGAACUCCCAACCUCAGGUGAUCCGCCUACCUUGGCCUCCCAAAGGGUUGGGAUUACAGGUGUAAGCCACUGCUCCCAGCCUUUUUUUUUUUUUUUAUUAGAGACAAGGGCUCCCCAUGUUGCCCAGGCUGAUCUUGAACUCUAGGCUCAAGCGAUCCUCCUGCCUGAGCCUCCCAAAGUGCUAGGAUUACAGGCAUGAGCACUGCUCCCAGCUCUGUUUUUGUUUUUUUAAGGAGGUAUAUUUUUUCUGUUCUCUCUCAGCCCUGAAGAAAGGCUACCCAUCCCCUUCAGACAUUCCUGAAAAUAUAUGUCAUCCAACAUCAAGGCCACCACAGUGACCACUAAGCAAUGCAAGAAGGUCCUCUGGGGUGCCCUGAGAUCUUGGCAGGGCAGGAAGAGUGAGAAGGGGCUUUGCCUGCUCACCUGAAAGUUCCCACCCAAGCCGGGCCCAGAAAACAAAAUGAAUUAUCUACAUGGUCAUCCAAUCAGCCACCAAAUGGCAUUACCUAGGUCCAUCAUCAUGUACCAAGCCACAGGUCAGACCCAGGGCCCCCCAAAUUAACAAGACACAGGCACUGUCCUCAGGAAGUGGAGAUCUAGCCAGGUCAGACCCACACACAAAUAACACUGAUACUAGAGAUAAUGAGAUUGGGAAUUAUGAUUCAGCCAUUCAACCUGGGCUUAUGUGGCAUCUACACCACCUGGCCCUGAUUUCAGUAGUGAGCACAGUUGACAGGGUCCCUUCCCUUCACAGGUGAGCCAUGUAGUCCACAAGUGGAGGUGGUCGUAAGUGAAAACCACAUUACCAGCAUGGUAAAGGGUUAGAAAGAGGGCACCGGGUGGGCGAGAACAUGAAGCAGGGGGUGCUGAUGGCUAAAGAAGUAAAGGAGGGGCUGGGCACUGUGGUUCAUGCCUAUAAUCCCAGCACUUUGGGAGACCAAGGCGGGUGGAUCACCUGAGGUCAGGAGUUCUAGACCAGCCUGGGCAACGUGGUGAAACCCUGUCUCUACUAAAAAUACAAAAAUUAGCCAGGCAUGGUGGUGCACGCCUGUAGUCCCAGCUACUUGGGAGGCUGGGGCAUGAGAAUUGCUUUAACCCGGAAGGUGGAGUUUGCAGUGAGCCGAGAUCGUGUCACUGCACUCCAGCCUGGGCGACAGAGGGAGACUCUGUCUCAAAAAAAAAAAAAAGUCAAGGAGGGUUUCCCAGAGUGGCCACUUGAUUAGAGACCUAGCACAGGAGGAAGAGAUGGGCAGGGAGAGUGACGGGGAGCAGCACAGUCCCUGGGAGCCCGAAGUGGGUGGGCACAGGGCUCCCUAGGAGAAUGGAAGGACAUCUAUGAGCUGUAGCCCAAGAGGAAGAGGUCACUGGGGCUAGAUGCGGCAGACCCUCGCAGGCUUUGGGAAGGGCUUCAGAAUUCAGCCUGAGGGCAAUGGGGAGCCCUUUUGGGAUAUUAAACUUGAGUAAGAUAUGAGCAUAUUUGCAUCUUGAAAAAUCAUUAUGGGAAGAUGGCUGGGAAGAGAGGAGGAGUGGCAGAAGAAAGAUAGGUUGGAGACAAUUGAUUGCUCGAUGAUAUAAAAUGUUAAGUACCAUGAAUGAUGCUGUUAGGCUGGAAUGCGCCAAGCAUAAAGGUGGGGCAUGGCAUCAAAAGGUAGGUCAACAUAUUAAAUAAUUCCAUGUAUUGAAAUAUCCAGAAAAUAUAUAGACAGAUCUAUAGAGAUAGAAACUGGUCUGCCCAGGACUAGGGGUUGUCUAAGGAUAAGGAGCUUCUUUUUUGGAUGGUGAAAUAACCUAAAAUAUAUUGUGCCAUUGUUUGCACAACUUUGUGAAUAUAUUAAAAACCUGUUAAUUGUACUCACUAAAUGUCCUCCUUCUAAAUUAAGCUGUUCUUGACAAGAAAAGGAAAGAAACAAAGAAAAGAAGAGAAAAAAGGUCAAGGUUUGGUCCUGGGUGCUCAAAUGGCAGGCCACAGACAGGAAACACAGUUGUGAGGAAUUACAACAGCCUCCCGGCCAGAGCUGGAGAGGUGGAGCCCAGGUCCCCUCUAACACCCCUUCUCCUGGCCAGGUUGGAGUCCCGCCACAGGCCACCAGAGCGGAGCAGCGCAGCGCCCUGUCUCCCAGCCUGAGGUGCAGUGCUGCAUCUCUGGUCAGUUGGGAGUCUGAGAUGAAGCACUGUAGCUCAGGAAGAGAGAAGUUGUUCUGCAGCCAUCAGCCUGGAAGUGGUAAGUGCUGGGGGGUUGUGGGGGGCCAUAACAGGAAGGACAGAGUGUUUCCAGACUCCAUACUAUCAGCCACUUGUGAUGCUGGGGAAGUUCCUCUACACAAGUUCCCCUGGUGCCACGAUCUGCUUCACGAGUCUGGGCAUGUCCUGACUCCUCUGUGUACCCCAGUGUGUCCAUCUUAGCAUGAGGCGUUAGCAUUUCCCCAGCACCCUGCCUCUGCUUUCUCUUUCUGAGCCCAUGGCAGACACAGCUAAUCAGUAAAGGCAUAUAUUCUUUUUUUUUUGAGACACAGUCUCACUCCAUCACCCAGGCUGGAGUGCAGUGGCAUAAUCUCAGCUCACUGCAACCUCCUCCUCCCAGGGUCAAGCAAUUCUCGUGCCUCAGCCUCCCAAGUAGCUGAGAUUACAGGUGUGCGCCACCACACCUGGCUAAUUUUUGUAUUUUUAGUAGAGAUGGGGUUUCACUAUGUUGGCCAGGCUGGUCUCAAACUCCUGACUUCAGGUGAUCUGCCCGCCUCGGCCUCCCAAAGUGCUGGGAUUACAGGCAUGAGCCUCCACGCCCCGCCAGGCAUCCAUUCUUGAAGUGCUCAGAUGCAGCUUCAGAAUCCUCAACAAUGAGCCCUGGAAAGCCACUAGUACUGAUUCACAGCUGAAACUCAUUCAUCAUUUGUGGAUCAAACAAUUCCUAAAAACCCUUUCAGCCCUGAAGAUAAAAAUUCUGGCCUUUGAGUCAGGGUCUUCACUCUGUACUUCUAACCUUGGCUCCGGGGUAUUGCCGAAACCAGUCCAGGCACGUCACAAAUGUCUGACUUCUCCCAGAGGCUUCAGAAGCACAAUGAGCAGCAGAGGAGAGCCAUGGAGCCAAGCACAGUCUCAUUUAACCUCCCCAAAAGCUUGGGAAGUGGGUGGUGUUAUAGCCCCAUUUUACAGAUGAGAAAAACUGAGGCUUAUUUAAGCAGCUCACCUAAAGUCACAUAUUGAUUGUGCUGAGCUGAGAUUGUACCCUAAUCUGCCUUCAAAUCCAUGUUUUUACCCAUUGCAUGUGAUUAUGGAACCUGGGACCGAGGAGCAGGAGGAGAACAUUCUAAAUUCUGCUCCCAUCUUGUCUUUACAUCUCAGGUCACUUUUAGCAAAGACAGACCCGGACACUUGCCAUUAAUACUACAGGCUUCCUUCCUCCUACCCCCUUCCCCCAAUCUUAUUCAUCUCACCUCUCCAGUAGGUCGUGGACUCAUGCAUUUUAUAAUUAAAGAAGGCCAAGGCUCAGGGGUUAAGUGACUUACUGGAGGUUAUCAGAGAGGAAGUUGCCAAACCCAGGCUAGGAACUGAAUGGUUGGUUUAAAUCCACCCCUCUGGCAGGAGACUGGGGAAUACACAUGAGCCGUGCAGACAGCAGAGGGCAGUCCUGGGGGUGGGGGCGCCAGAGGGUUUCCGGUACUUUUCAGGGCAAUUGAAGUUCCGGUCACUACUCCCCCCCAGAGCAAUAAGCCACAUCCGGCGACGUGUGGCACCCCACCCUGGCUGCUACAGAUGGGGCUGGAUGCAGAAGAGAACUCCAGCUGGUCCUUAGGGACACGGCGGCCUUGGCG